Molecule: long non-coding RNA, 405 nt
Organism: Schistocerca cancellata (South American locust)
Lineage: Eukaryota; Metazoa; Arthropoda; Insecta; Orthoptera; Acrididae
Exons: 2
Source: RefSeq, a predicted model, not a curated record
CACUUAAAUCGGCAAACCAUUGAGUAGCUAAACGAAGUCAAUAGUACUUUUUUGAAUUCUAAAAUUUAUUAAUUCCUGUGUAAUACAUUUUCGUUUACAGUUUUGAAAAAUGAAAAGUUAGCUCAUAAUAUAGAAACAGGGGAAGUAUUUUAAAUGUCUAAUUCGCAAAAAAAGAAAGGUUUAUAACAAAGUAGAGCUUCCUAUUUCUGGAAUCUGUCAGCAGUCCGCUCAGCCAGUGUGGAAGGAUAUAGACCCUCCCCAGCGGUCUUGUAGCGCCUGGUCCCCAGCAGCUCCGUCGCCCACCACCGGCUGUACCGGCUCCUGGUUGCUGGCGGCAUCUCCGCUAGGGACAGCUGGGACGCCUGCAGGUUCCUGCGCCAUCGUGGUCACAACCUGCAGACCAAG